AUUUUCCACUUAAUUUGCAGCAAUUUUGCAGCAAGUAUCGAGACUAAAUUUUCGAACGAUUUUCCCUAGGCUUCGGUAUAUGAGUGUCGAGAUCUGUCUCAUAUGUUCGUAGUCCAGUUUUAUACUAGAGAGAAAAUGAGGAUCUCACGUCCAUUCUUCUAGUUGUUCCACGAUACGCGCUGUACUAUGUGACCAAAUAUUAAAGGUAUUCCACGCUAGCAUGUACAAGAACCUAUAAAGUUAGGGAUUUGCCCUGUUUGGCUCCAUCACAGACAAGAAUGUAUACAGCAUAAACCUCGCAUCUUACGAGUCUUCGUGUCCCAUGUUCUGAAACACCGAUCGUGUAAAAAAUCAGAGUGUUUCUUACACCCUCAGCGAUUUAUAGCGGUUAACGCUGCUAUAAGCUGCAAACGGUUAAAAAACGAUGAAAAUCGCAGUUUUCUACGAUUUUCUGUAAGAAAAUGUGAAGUUCGGACGCUUGGAACGGUCGCCUGGUCUUCGUCACCCUCGGCUAUGGAAAGAGAAAGUGUCAACACUUGAGGGUGUCACAAAUUAAGUCCUCCCCCGUAUAGUAAGUAUGUGGGCCAGCGGGCUCGACGUUUUGCAACUGCGACGCCUGGUUUUUUGAGUAUUCGUUGUACAAUCGUUAACGUGGACGAAUCGUCAACGUCGAAGUAAAACCACACAAGCUCGGCAUUUCCGAAUUUACAAAAGUGCUAUAAAUGCUAUAGCAGGAGUGCUAUAAACGCGACUGGCUUGAAUUCGUUUUUAAUAUUUUCUUAAAUUUCGGCCUACACCUGUAAUAAAUCUACAUGUUCGUCCAUCUUUCGAUGCCUGUUGGUUGUUUUUGCAUCAAUCGACUUCGAUAAAAUUUUCUGCAUGUAUAUAGGUGACAUAACUCUUCAAAAUGUGUUGUUGCAGCACAACAGUACGAUCGUAAAGCCUUCGAAUCCUUAGAAGUAGUUUAAGGAAACGACAGCUAUUUGUGAUCAAGGACAACCCAGUGACGCGGAACUUUUUGGCAUUAGCAUAUUUUUUUUUAUUCCUUGAUUUCUGCGUGCUGUAUUCCUUUAUUCCCUGUGAACCGUUGGUCCGACACUCGAACGUCGCAUGCGGUCACCUCAGAGCCUGUGGCUAGCCCGAUGUGACCAUUAUGUAGGAGCUGGAGUUUCUCCUUCUUUGAAGUAUGCACUCACCAAUUGCUUCUUCUUUCCAUUCCCUCCAUCUCGAGAAAAUGGCAAAUCAGGAGAUUGGAGUAUCCAAACCCAGCAAUUUGUCUGACUCCAAACAUCGUUCCUAUCGUCAGUCUGUAGCAGAACUUCACCAAGUAAGCAGACGUUUCUUGUAUCAAGUAUACGCAUUUCCAUAGCUUUUUCCGGACUGUCCUUAAAUUUUAAAGGAACUCGAUUGCAUUAAGUUGCACUUCGAGACAGUCGAAUAAAAGUUCGCGUGAAAUAUCUCUGGCACUGCAACGUGUGUUGUUUAAAUAGUUCAAACGGACUCCAGCACUACAGUAUUACGAGGAUUAAAUUAAUUUCUAUUUUUUUAAUUUUUAAAAAUUACCGGACGAAAUAGAAAAAGAGCCUCGAUAUUUGUAAGAAUCUGGAUAAUUUCAUUGUAAUUCGCAAAUAACUCUGGCAACUGAAUGCAAUUUUAAAUAAAAAAAAAAUUACGUUGUGAUUGCACUUUAGAUAAGUAUAACUCAAGAGAUCAGUUAUUAAAGAAAAAGAUAUUAAGUUACACGUGGGAAUAGAAUUGAGUGCGCUUAUUUGUCUUGCACGCAGGUACAUGAAACGAAGCGAUCGUCUUCUUCUUAUUGUGAUGGCAAAUUUAAAAUCCUUCGACAGCUACCAAACCGCUCUCUGUUCUUGCCUAUUUGUACUUCUAGCAACAGCUGAUAGAUGGCGAACGACAUUUGACUAUAGUAGUAAGCGUACAUGUUACAGUGUUGCCAUUCACAUAGCGCGGGUUCCGAGUUAAGUGGAUAACCCUGUAUAUCAUUUCUAGCGUAAUCGCGUAACUACGUGUAACGUACAAACCGAAGGGUAUUUUUACCACAGACUUUUAUUCCUAUUAACUUCACCACAUCUGUAUGUGUACUACAUCAUUUGUGACUUUACCAACUUUAUUAGUUGGAUUGAGCAUAAUUCCUGGACUCGGCGUCGCUUUAUAGCUACACUAUAUCGCAGAGGGCGUAGGAAAUACUCUAUUUUCCUUCAUGAUCGAUAUUUCAGAUAAUAUUAACAAACAGAUAUAAUCUUCCGGUGUCAAUAUUUAUGAAAGAUGUGCUUCAAGGCGCUGCUAUCUGAAUUACAACUUUUCGGAAACGAUGAUGAACCGUGCAGUACAAUCAAAUUCUAUUUAGAAAAAAGUGAUAAAGAUCUCCGUACGGUUAAUCCCCCACAACUAUAGAAAGCGCAUAGUAUGCGAUGUACAAUAAUAACUGAUCUAUCGAUUGAUCUGUACUCGUGAGAAACCGCAUGGUUUCUCAUGCCUGGAGUCGUUGAGCAGUUGGCCAUGGUGAAUGUAAACAGAAGUGAACUUGGCAGUGUCGAUAAUAUUCCCCAGUGAGGGUCGUCGAGGUUGAAACGACGGAGAAAGUGCAGUCGCGGUCGAGAAGAACGAAAAGAGAGCAGAAUGAGGACGGACCGCGAGAGAAAAUGGAAGGAGAAUGGUAAAAUCUGGCGGGAAAAAAGAAACUGAAGACGAAGGGAGAAAAUGAUGUCUGAACUGACGUGUAACACGGAAGAGAGAGAGAGGGAGAGAGAGGGAGAGGGAGAGGGAGAGGGAGAGAGAGAGAGAGAGAGAGAGAGAGAGAGAAAGGAUGUGGGAGAAAAAAGGAAAAUCUCCGAGACAGCUAUCAUGAACACUUAAAGAGUUCUGGCAGAUUUAUGAGCACGGGGCACCUCUCUCCAUCCCUACGCUCACGAGUCAGCCUGCCUGCUCGUCGGAUAAAUCCUGUCGGUCACUCAUUCUCGCUGCUCUCUUUAUCCAUUUUUCUAGACAGCAGCGAAUCCUCUUGCGUGACCGUGCUCGCCAUUUUCAUUGGGAAGAUGGCGAAUGCGGCGAGGAACCGCGAAGAAACGAGCUUGAUCAUUUAAAAGGAAUUCUAUCAGCGUUCAACCAUACUUAUUAAUAAUAUUUCUUACAAGGGCCAUUUGCCUCGCUGUUGAUAAGCUUAUUGAAGUUUGAUUUAUAAUUAAGAGCGUUGUGACUGUUUCGCGGCCAACGAUCGUUCGACAUGCGAUAAUUUCAUGACCACCAGUUUAGUCAAUUAAAUUAACCGUCGCUUCGAUAGUCAUCGGCCACCAUUUAAAGUAGUCCGCUUUGCGUGAAUAAUCAUAUUUGCAGCGAUUAGAAUAGUUGAAUCUACCAGAUACGAUCGAUGACGAUUAAACAUAGAUAAAAUUGAUAAAAACUUCCAAUCCGUAGAAUAUUUUUUGCCAAUGGGGCUGAAUUUGUUAUGUUUCGAUGUUAUCUCUGAGGUUGGUGUAAAUUUGGCCAGCGUGACAGCGUAUGAGGAGUAUUGGUUUGGUAAGAUGGUUUUGUAGAAUUAUUGUGAAGUUAUCGAAGUGCUUUGGAUAGAAUGUUCGAUUCAAUAUUUAACGAUCCUGGUAUGAUCUUCGAAUUUUUUUUAUCCUCGACCUCACUCUUUUCUUUUAACGAGCAAAAAGAUUUUUAUUGUUUUUAGUGCCAAAAACUGUGGCAUAUACCGAGAGGGAUAGAUCAUGCGUACCAAGAACUAUUCUUUCGUACUUUCCAUAAACCCUAAACUGAAGAAAUUUGUUAAUAGAGAAAACAGUAUUAUUAGAAUAAUGAAAAGAAUAAUCAUCGUGGUGUUCGCAUGGCCACCCAUAAGCGUCCACGUCAUUUUUUCACGGCUUUUCGUUUCGCUAUGCGGGAUGAUGAUUUAACGAGGCAUAGACUGCGAGAAAGUGACUUGAGGAGGCAGCUGAGAGAUAAGGUAUAGCGAAACAAGUGCGAUAAGCCGAAACGAGAUAGCGUCGUCGCAGCCAGUCGACGAUAUCUCAAAGUCAAUGUCCUAUGAAGGACUGCUGCUACGUUCCGAUCCGACAAACCACCGUAUAUAUACUACAUACUCUUCUCUGAUUACAGGCAUUACGGCCACGUGUGUCGCUGCCCGUCGCUGCCAGUCGCUGCAUUCUCCUUCCUCCUUCCUCCUUCCACCCGUUCCGACGCAUGUUUCUCCGUCUCUGACUCGUGGAGAUAUCGAUGCCGAAAACACGAUUUCUUAUUCGCGCUGAUCUGUCUCUAUUUUCGUAUACUUGCCGAAUCUCUUGCCCCAACGCGCUUGUUUAGGACCAUGGAAUCUGCUUUUUUGUUACCUUGGCCUGUUAAACGGGAUUGAUUUGCGGAUUAUUGGUUGAUUCAUGUUUCUUAGACAAAUAUGCAGAUGUCGUCAUAAAAUACUUUUAUUCCGCAAACGUGGCUUCCGACAAAUUUUAUGCGGUGCUAACAUUAAUACGAAACUCGCUAUGAUAAAACAUAAAACGUCGUAUCUAGAAUCACGAUAAGAACAACGAAACCUGACGCUGACCUUAAACUUCAGGCAGCGCGGCGAACGGAACUUGGAAAGAGGAUCAUUUGAUUCAAGUGAUUAUUUCAUUCUUUGUAUUUUCAUUGAUUCGUUAGAUAAUAUGUCAAGCCAGUCGUACAAGUCGUACAAGUCGUACAUCUGCAGAAUACAGAAUAAAAUUAUACGAAAAUUCACGUUUCACAACAAGAAUAUGUAAUAUUUAUCAACUAUUUCCACAGACACUGUUGUCUUCGCAAAAUAAUCACUAUCAUGUAAAGGAUCAAUCUAUUAUCUUUAUCUCAGAUAUUUGAUCUAUAGAUAUACGUAUAAAAGAUAUACAUAUUCGUUCUAAUUACAAACUUUCAAGUAUUCAAGCGAUGCACGAUAAGUCUCCGAUAUUUCGUUUCUUUCUACUUGCAGACUUUCACGUAUGGUAUAAUUGACACAAACAGCGUUGAAAAUAUAAAUUUCAAACGUUAUUCGUGGCUUCUUGCUUUUCCAUAUAAUAACUAAUAACGUAGUUACUAGAAAAUAAAAUACGCACAUGAGUGGUGCAUUGUACAAAAGUGCGUAGUAUUAUUCGACAGUGAUAUAGUCCAUACACUUUUUCAUUUAAUUUAUGAAUCGUGUAACAAGCUUUAGAUAUGGAAAACCACAUGCUAAUAUUGCUAUAUACUUUGUAGCUACUGCUAGACAAAUGAAUAACUAUAUAAUAUAUAUAAUUUUAUCGGUACUUUUUUAAAAACUAUCUCUACACUCUGACUGACAUUUGAAUAAAACGUCACACGCAAUCAACUGUAUUUCAAACUCUUUGCCUGAAAAGGACAAAUUGUUGCUCAAACCAUUUAUCAGAAAGAAUUGGUUAAAAGACAAUUAGUUCUCUCAAGAAUUAUUUACAAAAUUUGAACAUCCAACAACAUACAUCAAUAGUAAUUUGUAAUCAUUAAGAUUAUAAACGAACUGACUACCAGUUUUCAUAAUUGUCAGUUACACUUAAACGUGAAAACAAAAAUAAUUAAAUUUAAAAGAAAGUAACAAGAAAGUAAUCGUGAACGAACUAGCUAUGAAUGCUAAAUGCUGAAAAAUACUAAACAAAAUUAUAAAAUCAACUAUGAUUCCUGACAACUGUCAGCUAAACAUGAAAACAAAAACCAUUGCGCGUUUGAAACUAACGAAUAUUUAUUCCUUGUAUAAACAAACUAGUGAUCAACCUGACGUUCUUUAUUGUAAGCUUUUUUGUUGCAAAAAUUUUCAAGCGAAUUAUUAUUCAAUUCUGAUAUUAAAAGGAGAGUCACAUCAAUACCAACGGUUACAUUUACGUUACAUCAAAUAAAGUUUAAUAAAAGUAAUAGAAUUGGGACAUAAUACGAACCAGGGGACUAAAUAUCAGACUGCCUGCGACGGGUGAUUGUCAACGAAUUCACAAUUUUAGCUAACCAAAAAUGGCCACCUGUAAUAAUAAUAAACAGAGAGAUAUAAAGAUAGGGUACAUGGGUUAUAUGUUAGCGCGUAAGUGAAAGCGACAUAGGGGCUCCUUCUGUCCCUGUCUAAUCAGCCAUGCACACUGACGCCGCUCGUUGAUCGGCGUUACAAUUCCAUAUUUACUGUACGGAUGUGCAUGCGUUAUUAGACAAGGACAGAAGGGGCCUCUAUUCGUUAACGUUCGCUUUCGAUUCUUGUAUCGUUUUUUCAGCUCGCUCACGCACUCUAUCGUUAGAUCUCCAUAAUUGCUAAACGUAAGAGGUGCAUUAACUUCGCUUGAUUAUUUUUUACUUAACUCGCGUAAUUUCUUUUUUAAUAGCAUAGAUAUCGGUCUUCUUUUUCUUUUUUUGGAAAUAAUUUCACGGGGACAGGGGACUGAAAUGUAAAAGUGGUGACAAAGAUUGUAAAUGUUCUUCGUCGAUAGAAUGAAGUCGAUUAAUGUAAAAAUAAAUGUGAAUGGAAUCUAGCGGUUCAAGGGUUAUGCGUGUGUAAAACUGAGCAUUUUUAUCGUAUUUUACAGGUUAGUACGACGCCAUAUUGCUUCUAUUCGUAAUUCGAUUGAUCCGACAGAUGAGCAUUGAACUACUAACUUCGCCGAAUGUUCAUUUAUACAAGCGUAACCGGCAACCUUUAGCCAAAACUAAUUCAGUACUUAUGAUUCAAAAUCCCGUCGUAAAAUGGCCGACAUCCACGUGCAUUUGUUACAGCCAGUGACUCUACUCAUUGGACGAAUCAUGGAUAAAAACCAACAUGGUGUCAAGGUUGAAGCUGUCAACGCUGAAAUCGCUUAACUUUACGUACUUGUAACUUUUCAACUGCGGGAUUCCUAAAGUUAAAACAUACAUUUUUCGAUUCUACGCAUAGAAAACCAUUAAAUUGCAAUUAGGAAAGGUCACAAUUUUGUGUCCGUUAAACCGAAGUUCAGCCUAUACGUAAAAAGGAAAAAUUAGCGAAUACUUUCAAAUUUAUGCACUGAACAUGAGAAUGGUAGAUUAAAUUUUAUAGUUGUAAUAUGCCAGGAAAUUGAGAAUUUCAUGUAAAAGUGGUAAUUUUUUGAUAUAAAUAAAUUAAAUUGAUAAUUCUUCAUAAUUUGUCCAUGAAGUUACAGUUAUUAUCUGUCUCUGGUAUAUAUAGAUAUAAUACGAUUUAAUGUUUUCAAAGUGUUAAAAAGUGAGAGAUUUGAAGAGAGAGAGAGAGAGAGAGAGAGAGAGAGAGAGAGCGAGAAAGAAAUGCCCACUUCUGUAGAAUCCCCAUACACGUAUGUGUAUAAAACAAUAAUAACCAAUAAUUUAUAUGAUUGUUUUAUUAACGUUUACACUUUUUUUAAACAUUUUUUUUCUAGACUUUUUCUGAUUAGACGGAGGAAGGAAGGAAGAGAGAGAGAGAGAGAGAGAGAGAGAGAGAGGCAGAGGGAGAGUACCAUAUUUUAAUAAAUUUCGAAGAACUUUUACGAUUAAUAGAUUUGUUCUUGUAACUUGAGAUAAAUCUUUUUGUCUUACUAGUAACAGUUAUAUCAUUAUAAAGCGAAGAGUUUAUUUUUCAUUACACUGUAUCUAAUGAAAUGUAAUCUUUAAAAACAAGUUUUAGCUAAAUACGUAUAUCUCGAUGGACUAAUUACACAAUCAUCAGUCGAUGGCAAUGUUCUUAGUAAUUCGCAGCAUUAUAAAACAAACACAGCCGUUAAAUAUCAAGAAUAUACUUACAGAGAUAAAACCGUUUUGGCCUAAAAAUAUGUCUCUAUACGGAUUAGGUAAUGUCAACUCUUUUUCUUCGAAUACUCAAAGUUCUAUAUGCGAUAACGAUGAAAACGCCAGUGUAAAUUUACAUGUUUGCGAGUUUUAUAAAAUUUAUGAAUCAAGUUCAGUCACCUCACGAUCACGAAUUUUUUUCAACUCACGAUCAAUCCCACAAGUACUUGAAAUAAGUUUUACGAAAAUGUUGUUUUAUAAGAUUUGUCUGAUACAUAUGGUAUUUAAUAGGUAAUUCCAAGAAAUUACAUUCAUCUUUUCAGUUUAAUAAGUCUAGGUAAUCGUAAAACUUGGUGUAACUAAGUUUCUUAUUGAAAAGGUUUUUCCUUAAGUUUAUAAUUAUAUGUCGUAUCAUUUUAUAGUAUGUUUUUCACAAAUCUAUUAUAUAUUAUUAGCAUAACUACUAAAUAAUAAUUACAACACGUUUUAACGAUAAAAUUAGUUAACAAAUGUAAUCAGCGAUAAUUUUUACAAAUUACUAUAGCGAUCUUCUUAGGAAUAAAACAGACUAAUUUACGUACACAUGAUUGCUAUCGCACAUUGCUAGCAAUCAGAUAUUGGAUAUGUAUUAAUUAGAAAUCAAUCUGGCGAUCAAUAAAGAAAUUCUUAUCAUCAAACUACAACUACAACCUACAACUUCCGUCUACGAUAUUGCUCGAUAGGAAAAACAGCCACUUGAAGUACAACAUUGCGUCAUGCGAUCUGUGAAUCUCUCUCGACGGAAGAACUUCGGAAAAGGUUUUCAAGAAUUUAGGCUAGGACGAUCGAAAGUUUGAACAGAUAAUUUACCAUUCUAUAAUUUCCCUGCUCGAUGAGCAUGCAUGGUGUCGAUGAUAUUUGGUCGAUCGAAUAAACAGCGAGGCCGUUGACUCUUCAUCGGCCAUGCUUUUCUCCGAUCUAAUCUUCAAUCUCCGAUCGAAACAGCACAAUCUAUCCACCCAACAUAGGAAACUUACGGGCCAGCUACAAUCUACAAUGUCACGAGCAAAGGUCUAUCGAGCGAGUCCCAACCGUCGAUAACGGCAACUAACAACAGGCUAAUCUAUCAAGGACGCUUGACAGUGAAAAUUUGGCCUUGAAAAGGCAAUACCGUUCACUGGAAACCUGACGGGUUUAUUAUAUCCAUAAUGGAGUAUCGUUAGCGGAAUACGUGUACUAUUUACGUCCAUUCUUGUGGUAAUAGACGCUAAGACUCUAAACGCUGUUUGUGAAUAUUUAAAAAUAUUAGAAAUAGAAUCACUGAAUUUCAAUUACUGUCUAUUUAAAAGGUAAUCUUUGUUCAAAAGGGAAUCACAGAAGAAUUAGCUAUUGCGAAGCAAUAAAGCAUCGAUCAAGAGGUUUAAAGGUAUGAAAAUCAUUUUUCGAGAGUUUCCUUUCUUUUGUUUUAAUUCGCAUUUAGUUUAGAGCUGCUUUGAUGGAUUUUCAAUGGAAUUUGAUAAACGUAACAAAGAUACAAACGAAGGUAUGUAUUUAUGGAUUUUGUUUGAACUACAAAGAAGAUUGAAGUUUCUAUAAUAUCGUAUCAAGUGAUAUUAUCGAUGGCCAAAAUUAUUGGACUGUAAUCAAGUAAAAGUUGAUUACGUUGAUUCCUAAGCUAAAAUUAUAAGAUAAGAUUUAGGGGAAUCAUUAGAUUAUUUGGGAUGAUUAUUAGUUGACGUAUUAUAUCGAACA
This is a long non-coding RNA of Bombus pyrosoma, 9438 nucleotides long. RefSeq lists it as uncharacterized. The transcript has 5 exons. NCBI's taxonomy places the organism in Eukaryota, Metazoa, Arthropoda, Insecta, Hymenoptera, Apidae. The record is from RefSeq and is a predicted model, not a curated record.